Molecule: ribosomal RNA, 1511 nt
Filed under: metagenome
Description: bacterial LSU rRNA
Rfam family: Bacterial large subunit ribosomal RNA
Source: RNAcentral
UGGUGGAUUGCAGGACCCGAUUUUUUGAGGUAAACGUAUUAACAGGUGUGACGCAGGAAGGUAGCCAAGCCACGCGAUGGUUGUCGUGGUCUAAGCGUGUAGGGUAUCCGGUUGUUAGAUGCGCCGGUGUUAGCCUGAGACGUGAUGGGACCCCUUUUUUGGGGGAUUUGGUGAUCCUAUGCUGCCGGGAAAAGCAUCGACGUGAGGUUUUAGCCGCCCGUACCCCAAACCGACACAGGUGAUCAUGUAGAGAAUACUAAGGCGAUCGAGAGAAUCAUGGUUAAGGAACUCGGCAAAAUGUCCCCGUAACUUCGGGAGAAGGGGAGCCUUGAGCGUGAUCCACCUAUGCGGUGGGGAGCGUGUAUGGGUCGCAGAGAAUUGGGGGAAGCGACUGUUUAUCAAAAACACAGGUCCAUGCGAAGUCGUAAGACGAUGUAUAUGGACUGACUCCUCCCCGGUGCUGGAAGGUUAAGAGGAUUGGUUAGCCCUUUUGGGCGAAGCUAAGAAUUUAAGCCCCAGUAAACGGGUGGUAUAACCAUCCUAAGGUAGCGAAAUUCCUUGUCGGGUAAGUUCCGACCUGCACGAAUGGAGUAACGACUUCCCUACUGUCUCAACCAUGAACUCGGCGAAAUUGCAGUACGAGUAAAGAUGCUCGUUUCGCGCAGCAGGACGGAGAGACCCCGUGACCUUUACUAUAGUUUGGUAUUGGCGUUCGGUGUGGCUUGUGUAGGAUAGGUGGGAGACUGUGAGGCUGACACGCUAGUGUUGGUGGAGUCGUUGUUGAAAUACCACUCUGGUCGCUCUGGAUGUCUAACUUCGGCCCGUGAUCCGGGUCAGGGACAGUGCCUGAUGGGUAGCUUAACUGGGGCGGUUGCCUCCUAAAAAGUAACGGAGGCGCCCAAAGGUUCCCUCAGCCUGGUUGGCAAUCAGGUGUUGAGUGUAAGUGCACAAGGGAGCUUGACUGUGAGACUGGCAGGUCGAGCAGGGACGAAAGUCGGGACUAGUGAUCCGGCGGUACAUUGUGGAAUGGCCGUCGCUCAACGGAUAAAAGGUACCUCGGGGAUAACAGGCUGAUCUUGCCCAAGAGUCCAUAUCGACGGCAUGGUUUGGCACCUCGAUGUCGGCUCGUCGCAUCCUGGGGCUGGAGUUGGUCCCAAGGGUUGGGCUGUUCGCCCAUUAAAGCGGUACGCGAGCUGGGUUCAGAACGUCGUGAGACAGUUCGGUCCCUAUCCGCUGCGCGCGUUGGAAAUUUGAGAAAGGCUGUCCUUAGUACGAGAGGACCGGGACGGACGAACCUCUGGUAUGUCAGUUGUACCGCCAGGUGCAUGGCUGAUUGGCUACGUUCGGGAGGGAUAACCGCUGAAAGCAUCUAAGCGGGAAGCCUGUUUUGAGAUGAGAUUUCCUAGCGUUUUUUGAACGUGUGAGGAUCCCUAUAGAUGAUGGGGUUGAUAGGCCAGGUAUGGACGCGGGGAAUUCCCGUGGAGUUGACUGGUACUAAUAGUCCGAAGGCC